CGGGCUCCCGGCAGAGGCGCUGCAGAGGCUCCCGGGAGCGGGCGGCGCGGCGUUAGCGCGGCGAGCGGAUAGCGGCGGGCCCUCCCGGGCAGCCAGCGUGGACGGAGCGGCGCGCGUGCCGAGCAUGGCGGGCUCCCUGCCUCCCUGCGUGGUGGACUGCGGCACCGGGUAUACCAAGCUUGGCUACGCAGGCAACACUGAGCCACAGUUCAUUAUUCCUUCAUGUAUUGCCAUCAGAGAGUCUGCAAAGGUGGUCGACCAAGCUCAGAGGAGGGUGUUGAGGGGUGUCGACGACCUGGACUUCUUCAUAGGGGACGAAGCCAUAGAUAAACCCACGUAUGCCACAAAGUGGCCAGUAAGACACGGAAUCAUUGAAGACUGGGAUCUGAUGGAAAGGUUCAUGGAACAAGUGAUUUUUAAAUACCUUCGAGCUGAGCCUGAGGACCAUUAUUUUUUAAUGACAGAACCUCCACUGAACACACCAGAAAACAGAGAAUAUCUUGCAGAAAUUAUGUUUGAAUCAUUUAAUGUACCAGGACUCUACAUUGCAGUUCAGGCAGUGCUGGCCUUAGCAGCGUCUUGGACCUCGCGACAAGUGGGCGAACGUACGUUAACGGGGAUCGUCAUCGACAGUGGGGAUGGGGUCACCCAUGCUAUCCCAGUGGCAGAAGGGUAUGUCAUUGGGAGCUGCAUCAAACACAUCCCUAUCGCAGGGAGAGAUAUUACGUAUUUCAUGCAACAGCUGCUGAGGGAGCGGGAGGUGGGGAUUCCUCCGGAGCAGUCGCUGGAGACUGCCAAAGCCAUCAAGGAGAAAUACUGUUACAUUUGCCCUGAUAUCGUCAAGGAAUUUGCCAAGUAUGAUGUGGAUCCUCAGAAGUGGAUCAAACAGUACACGGGGAUCAAUGCAGUCAACCAGAAGAAGUUUAUUAUAGAUGUUGGCUACGAAAGGUUCCUGGGCCCUGAGAUUUUCUUUCACCCGGAGUUUGCCAACCCAGACUUUAUGGAGUCCAUCUCGGACGUUGUUGAUGAAGUCAUUCAGAGCUGCCCCAUCGAUGUCCGUCGUCCGCUGUAUAAGAAUGUCGUUCUUUCGGGGGGCUCGACGAUGUUCAGGGACUUUGGACGUCGCCUGCAGAGAGACUUAAAAAGGGUGGUGGACGCCAGACUGAGACUCAGCGAGGAGCUCAGUGGCGGCAGAAUAAAGCCCAAGCCCGUGGAGGUCCAGGUGAUAACACAUCAUAUGCAGCGCUAUGCGGUGUGGUUCGGAGGCUCGAUGCUGGCCUCAACUGUGGGUGUGCGAUGCCGUAGCACACGUGUGUGAGAGGACCUCCCUCCGCUGUGUCACCGUCUGCAGUGUGGUCAGCGGGAGAGCCCAGCGGAAGAAAUGACCCCGCAGGAAUCUUGAAGACAAAGCAUCUUUCUUUACUCAGUUGACGAGAAUUUUUGAUAUGCCGGGAUGCGUCGUGUCCUUCUGAGCACAAUGUAGUGCACUGCGUUCCGUGUCUACACCCUGGCCCCCGAAACAGGAACACCUCUCGGCACCAGUGGUCCAGAGGACAGAGUCUGGGGAAUCCGUCCUACUGGGAUCCCCCAGGGAGAGCCGCCUUCGGAUCGGGUUGUCGGAGGAGGGCCCUCUCUCAUCUUGCUGUUGGUAGACUGAGGGAAAUUGAGGUUUCUAAAAAGGAUUUUUUUGUUUUUACUUUGGAAUAAUUACUUUUAUUUUACUGUGAACUGAAGAGAAAUGAUAAUUGUGCUUCUGAUGGUCAUCGGUGAUAAAAAAAAUUAAGGAAAAUUGAAGUUACAGAAAGUAUUUUGGUAUUUUGCAGAAAGAUUGUAAUUAAGAAAAUGGGCUGUUUGGCAUUUCUUUCCGUAAUUUUUCAUUUCUUAUGCUCUCAUUCAUCAUCUGAGAGGAUGCACGCGUUCAGUGUGUUACAGUCUGCAGGCUGCAUUUAUGCAGUUUUUCUGCAGGGACCUAAUUCCUAUCCAUUGGAGUUUGAUUUCAAAUAUGAACAAAAUCCCUGACAGGAAAAGAUUGAGAGAUGCCAGGGGUUCCUGCAGUGCUAACUGGGGUGGGGGUGGGGGAUUGAUAGUGUGCUGGUCACUGGGACAACAGUUUUUAUUUUUUAGGGAAAACAGAUUCCUUUUAACGAGUAUGAUAAAAAUAAGAACGAUAUGAUGUUAUGCUGACAUCCUUUGUUCUUGAGUGAGAACCCCCAGUUUUCUUUAAUCUCCAGUCACAAUUGUGUGCUUUGGGGAAUAUUCUUUUUUUUUCGGGGGGGGUGGAUAUUCUUAAAGAGGAAAAUAAUUUUUAUUCAUUUUAAUAGUUUUAGUGGGCAUCCUAUUUGUGGUUAGGGCAAAGAGUUUCUAAAGGUCAUUUACUUUCAGACGUUUUUGGUUCAGAACUUUGGAGACUGUGGUCAGCCUUCCAUCGCGUGGGCUCUGCCCGUUCGUUAUCCAGGGGGGACUGUGAUUGUACCCCUGCCCUGCCCUCUGGCUGUUUUUCAUGGCAGCACCUCUUCUGGAGAAUGUAGAGGAAAAUUAAAGAUGAAAACGGCUUUCCUUUUAGUUGUGGGAAAAAUAAUUGGUGGUAAAGAAGAUAAAACUUUGUUGUAUGGAAAUAAAUGAAGAACCACAUAAGUAAGAGGCUGCUUACUUAGCGCUGGUGGAGCGCAGGGGUCCAUCCAGGGGAAGGGGGCUCCGGGGCGCCCUGGUGGAGGCUAUGGGCGCGGGGGACCUAGGGCGGCCAGCUUCCCCACGUGAUUGGUUAGGGGAGCAUGUUGGGUUUUCCCCAGUUGGUCCUGAGCUGGAAGUGGGGUCAGAAAUUAGGGAAGCUGUCCGUUAUUGAUAGAGUCUUGGCUGUCUUGGGCUGGUUGCUGCUCGUGCGGUUUGGCUUCCAGGGCUGAUGAUGCUUGUCGAUGAAAAAUUAAUCAGCCGAUCUAAGAAAGAAUUGGAAAAUUUUAUCUGAGCCAAAUUUGAGGAUGAUAACCCGGGAAGAGCAUCUCAGAAAGCUCUGAGAACUGUUCUGCCCUUUACAAGUUACGGCAUAGUUAUAGAAGCAUUUUCUUGAGACAGAGCAGAGUGUACAUUCAAUGAUGUAUUAUCGACAGCCUGCGUAAUCCAGAUCUAAGUGCCAUCGCGGCGGGUCACGUGACCCUUACGAGCUCAAGGAGGAACGUUCUCUUUUAAGGGGUUGUCUUGAUGCUGGGAGAAUGUGGCUCUUUUUGGUUGAGCAGGUAUUUCUGCUGAUGGGGGAGGUUUGAUCGAUGCGUAGUGCAGGUACACAGUGCACAGUGUGGGGAGAGAGGAGACCAAAGGGCAGAGAAGAGUUUUCAUGUUUAAAUUUUUCUUGUCUUGCCAUAAAAUAUGAAUUUUAUUUCACACGCUGCCGGUUGUGGGUCCGAGGCAGGUUGUCACAUGUGGUCUGGCUGCUGUCUGUUCAUAUAUUUAGUCUCUCAAUUGGAAAAAUGAAAUUUUGAGUGAUGUGUGAAUG
Delphinapterus leucas (beluga whale) is the source of this 3487-nucleotide non-coding RNA. NCBI's taxonomy places the organism in Eukaryota, Metazoa, Chordata, Mammalia, Artiodactyla, Monodontidae. The record is from RefSeq and is a predicted model, not a curated record.